ACACUUGAGCACACGCGUACACCCAGACAUCUUCGGGCUGCUAUUGGAUUGACUUUGAAGGUUCUGUGUGGGUCGCCGUGGCUGCAUGUUUGAAUCAGGUGGAGAAGCACUUCAACGCUGGACGAAGUAAAGAUUAUUGUUGUUAUUUUUUUUUCUCUCUCUCUCUCUCUCUUAAGAAAGGAAAAUAUCCCAAGGACUAAUCUGAUCGGGUCUUCCUUCAUGAACGAAUGCAGGAAUUUGGGAACUGAGCUGUGCAAGUGCUGAAGAAGGAGAUUUGUUUGGAGGAAACAGGAAAGAGAAAGAAAAGGAAGGAAAAAAUACAUAAUUUCAGGGACGAGAGAGAGAAGAAAAACGGGGACUAUGGGGAGAAAAAAGAUUCAGAUUACGAGGAUUAUGGAUGAACGUAACAGACAGGUGACAUUUACAAAGAGGAAAUUUGGGUUGAUGAAGAAGGCUUAUGAGCUGAGCGUGCUGUGUGACUGUGAGAUUGCACUGAUCAUCUUCAACAGCACCAACAAGCUGUUCCAGUAUGCCAGCACCGACAUGGACAAAGUGCUUCUCAAGUACACGGAGUACAACGAGCCGCAUGAGAGCCGGACAAACUCAGACAUCGUGGAGGUGAGAGAGCAUGCGUGGUGAGCCCCAAGCCUCCGCAAGCAGGGGAGUUUGGACCUCCCCCUGCCACACACA
RNAcentral lists this small RNA (690 nucleotides) under Pan troglodytes (chimpanzee). RNAcentral describes it as "retained intron". The record is from RNAcentral. Lineage: Eukaryota; Metazoa; Chordata; Mammalia; Primates; Hominidae.